AGCAGCCGCGGUAAUUCCAGCUCCAAUAGCGUAUAUUAAAGUUGUUGCAGUUAAAAAGCUCGUAGUUGAAUUUCGGGGUUAGUAGGUUGGUCAUGCCUCUGGUAUGUACUGGUCUCACUGAUUCCUCCUUCCUGAUGAACCUUAAUGCCAUUAAUUUGGUGUUUUGGGGAAUUUGGACUGUUACUUUGAAGAAAUUAGAGUGUUUAAAGCAAGCUAACGCUUGAAUACAUUAGCAUGGAAUAAUGAAAUAGGACGUUCGAUCCUAUUUUGUUGGUUUCUAGGAUUGACGUAAUGAUUAAUAGGGAUAGUUGGGGGCAUUAGUAUUCAAUUGUCAGAGGUGAAAUUCUUGGAUUUAUUGAAGACUAACUACUGCGAAAGCAUUUGCCAAGGAUGUUUUCAUUAAUCAAGAACGAAAGUUAGGGGAUCGAAGACGAUCAGAUACCGUCGUAGUCUUAACCAUAAACCUAUGCCGACUAGGGAUCGGAUGAUGUUAAUUUUUAAUGUACUCAUUCGG
Molecule: ribosomal RNA, 514 nt
Filed under: uncultured Glomus
Lineage: Eukaryota; Fungi; Glomeromycota; Glomeromycetes; Glomerales; Glomeraceae
Description: SSU rRNA
Rfam family: Eukaryotic small subunit ribosomal RNA
Source: RNAcentral